AACGAACGCUGGCGGCAGGCUUUACACAUGCAAGUCGAACGAGAUCUUCGGAUCUAGUGGCAGACGGGUGAGGAACACGUGGGAACAUCCCUUUCAGUUCGGAAUAACGUUGGGAAACUAACGCUAAUACCGGAUACGUCCUUCGGGAGAAAGAUUUAUCGCUGAAAGAUUGGCCCGCGUCUGAUUAGCUAGUUGGUGAGGUAAUGGCUCACCAAGGCUACGAUCAGUAGCUGAUCUGAGAGGAUGAUCAGCCACAUUGGGACUGAGACACGGCCCAAACUCCUACGGGAGGCAGCAGUGGGGAAUAUUGGACAAUGGGCGCAAGCCUGAUCCAGCCAUGCCGCGUGGGUGAUGAAGGCCUUCGGGUUGUAAAGCUCUUUUAUCCGGGAAGAUAAUGACUGUACCGGAAGAAUAAGCCCCGACAAACUUCGUGCCAGCAGCCGCCGUAA
This 449-nucleotide ribosomal RNA is filed under the name uncultured bacterium. RNAcentral's name for it is "partial 16S ribosomal RNA". It matches the Rfam family "Bacterial small subunit ribosomal RNA", at positions 29 to 523 of the family's 1533-position model. The record is from RNAcentral.